Molecule: non-coding RNA, 798 nt
Organism: Paramuricea clavata
Lineage: Eukaryota; Metazoa; Cnidaria; Anthozoa; Malacalcyonacea; Plexauridae
Source: the annotation of a GenBank genome assembly
UUUCUGUUGAGCAUGCAGUGUGACUCGUGGUCGAGCAAGCAGCAAAAAAAAUUACGUUUUUAAAAUUUGAAAAUGAAUCUCGAGCAAACCAAUAAUGGAAACCUUUCACACGGCAUUUCUAUAAACGCUAAAGACAAACUGAUAUGGAGUGGAUUUUACGAGGCAUAGCAGAUAUUUGUGGAAGAAGUUGAUAUGUCAGUAUUUGGGACUGCCCAGGAGAUGAUACAAAGCGAUACAAGAGUGGUAAUAUAGAUAUAGCAUGGUAUCAAGGCUCCAAAUCUAUUACAUUAAGUGGCGAACUUAUAGAUGAAAUUAAAGAAAAGUUAAUCUCGCUGGCCUCAGUUGCAGAACAAGUCAGACAUUCUGAAGUUGUUGACGGUCAUUGCUACGAAGUUCAUGCAAAUCCUAAUCAGUUUUAUGCUCGUCAACUGUCCCUAGAGAUCUUAAAAAUCAACUAGAAGCUCUCACUAUACAGGGUGUCCCCAAAAAAGAAAACUAUUGAAAUCACUUAUUGUUAAAUUUGAAUGCCCUACCAAACAGAUGAACGUAAUGAUGCCUAUAAUUUUGACAAGGUGCUUGUAUUAAAAUUUAGUUAAGAACAAUCUCCUUGUAAUUUGCGCGAUUUUCUGCUCUUGGGAAUUUAGAACAGCUUCUUAAUUUAAACAGUUUAUUUAUGCGUAAAAUUUACUUAUGUCAAUCAUUUAUGCACUCGUGGGAACCAACAGAGCGCUAAGACAUUCAAAUUCUAACAAUCAAAUUGUUAUUGGUGACUUCAAUAGUUUUCAGGUUUUUUGGGAC